GCCAGGCAUGGUGGCUGGUGUCUGUAGUUCCAGCUACUCAGGAGGCUGAGGCAGGAGAAUUGCUUGAGCCCGGGAGCUCUGGGCUGCAGUGCACUCUGCCGAUUGGGUGUCUCCACUAAGUUUGACAUCAAUAUGGUGACCUCCUGGGUGCAGGGGACCAUCAGGUUACCUAAGGAGGGUGAACCAGCCCAGGUUGGAAACGGAGCAAGUCAAAACUCCUGUGCUGAUCAGUAGUGGGAUUAUGCUUGUGAAUAGCCACUGCAUUCCAGCCUGGGCAACAUAGUAAGACCCCAUCCCUA
This 299-nucleotide signal recognition particle RNA is filed under the name Pongo abelii (Sumatran orangutan). RNAcentral describes it as "Metazoan signal recognition particle RNA (ENSPPYG00000031409.1)". It matches the Rfam family "Metazoan signal recognition particle RNA". From Rfam's summary of the family: The signal recognition particle (SRP) is a universally conserved ribonucleoprotein. It is involved in the co-translational targeting of proteins to membranes. The record is from Rfam by way of RNAcentral. Lineage: Eukaryota; Metazoa; Chordata; Mammalia; Primates; Hominidae.